GUCCACGCUGUAAACGAUCGGUACUAGGAUUUGUGGGAGUUGACCCCUGCAGAUCCGGAGCUAACGCGAUAAGUACCGCGCCUGGGAAGUACGGUCGCAAGACUAAAACUCAAAGGAAUUGACGGGAGCCCGCACAAGCGGUGGAUUAUGUGGUUUAAUUCGAAGCAACGCGCAGAACCUUACCUAGGUUUGACAUCCUUUGACAAUGCCAGAGAUGGUACUUUCGUAGCAAUACGACAAAGAGACAGGUGCUGCAUGGCUGUCGU
Molecule: ribosomal RNA, 266 nt
Filed under: uncultured bacterium
Lineage: Bacteria
Description: partial 16S ribosomal RNA
Rfam family: Bacterial small subunit ribosomal RNA
Source: RNAcentral